RNAcentral lists this ribosomal RNA (470 nucleotides) under uncultured bacterium. Its description in RNAcentral is "partial 16S ribosomal RNA". It matches the Rfam family "Bacterial small subunit ribosomal RNA", at positions 28 to 507 of the family's 1533-position model. The record is from RNAcentral.
GACGAACGCUGGCGGCGUGCUUAAUACAUGCAAGUCGAACGCUGAACAGGGGAGCUUGCUCCUCCUGGAUCAGUUGCGAACGGGUAAGUAACACGUGGGUAAUCUGCCCUGAACUCGGGGAUAAGUGUUGGAAACGACAUCUAAUACCGGAUACCACGCGGUGACGCAUCCUCUCCGCUUGAAAGGAACUUCGGUUCGGGUUGAGCUCGCGGCUGAGCUGCUUGUGGGUGAGGUAACGGCUCACGAAGGCGACGACGGGUAGCCGGCCUGAGAGGGUGACCGGCCACACUGGGCCUGAGACACGGCCAAGACUCAUACGGGAGGCAGCAGUGGGAAAUAGUGCAAAAUGGGCGCAAGCCGGAUGCAGCAACGCCGCGUGAGGGACGACGGCCUUCGGGUUGUAACCCUCUUUUAGCAGGAAAGAAGAGAAAGUGACGGUACCUGAAGAAAAAGCAACGGCUAACUACGUG